GAUGAAGAACGUAGCAAAAUGCGAUAAGUAAUGUGAAUUGCAGAAUUCAGUGAAUCAUCGAAUCUUUGAACGCACAUUGCGCCCGCCAGUAUUCUGGCGGGCAUGCCUGUUCGAGCGUCAUUUCAACCCUCAAGCGCAGCUUGGUGUUGGGACUCGCGUUAAUUCGCGUUCCCCAAAUUGAUUGGCGGUCACGUCGAGCUUCCAUAGCGUAGUAGUAAAACCCUCGUUACUGGUAAUCGUCGCGGCCACGCCGUUAAACCCCAACUUCUGAAUGUUGACCUCGGAUCAGGUAGGAAUACCCGCUGAACUUAAGCAUAUCAAUAAGCGGAGGA
RNAcentral lists this unclassified non-coding RNA (332 nucleotides) under soil metagenome. Its description in RNAcentral is "partial contains 5.8S ribosomal RNA, internal transcribed spacer 2, and large subunit ribosomal RNA". The stretch from base 1 to 120 matches the Rfam family "5.8S ribosomal RNA", at positions 35 to 154 of the family's 154-position model. The record is from RNAcentral.